UACGUAGGGUGCGAGCGUUGUCCGGAUUUAUUGGGCGUAAAGGGCUCGUAGGCGGCGUGUCGUGUCGGGAGUGAAAGCCCGUUGCUUAACGGCGGGUUGGCUUUCGGUACGGGCAUGCUGGAGUGCGGCAGGGGAGACUGGAAUUCCUGGUGUAGCGGUGGAAUGCGCAGAUAUCAGGAGGAACACCGGUGGCGAAGGCGGGUCUCUGGGCCGUAACUGACGCUGGAGGAGCGAAAGCCAUGGGGAGCGAACAGG
This 255-nucleotide ribosomal RNA is filed under the name uncultured bacterium. RNAcentral describes it as "partial 16S ribosomal RNA". It matches the Rfam family "Bacterial small subunit ribosomal RNA", at positions 524 to 776 of the family's 1533-position model. The record is from RNAcentral.